This 253-nucleotide ribosomal RNA is filed under the name uncultured bacterium. RNAcentral describes it as "partial 16S ribosomal RNA". It matches the Rfam family "Bacterial small subunit ribosomal RNA", at positions 524 to 776 of the family's 1533-position model. The record is from RNAcentral.
UACGUAGGGUGCAAGCGGUAAUCGGAAUUACUGGGCGUAAAGCGUGCGCAGGCGGUUUUGUAAGACAGGCGUGAAAUCCCCGGGCUUAACCUGGGAAUGGCGCUUGUGACUGCAAAGCUGGAGUGCGGCAGAGGGGGAUGGAAUUCCGCGUGUAGCAGUGAAAUGCGUAGAUAUGCGGAGGAACACCGAUGGCGAAGGCAAUCCCCUGGGCCUGCACUGACGCUCAUGCACGAAAGCGUGGGGAGCAAACAGG